GCGGUGCGGUCUGGAGGACCCGGUGUAUAUCUUGAAUGUCAAAACGACUCUCGGCAACGGAUAUCUCGGCUCUCGCAUCGAUGAAGAACGUAGCGAAAUGCGAUACUUGGUGUGAAUUGCAGAAUCCCGUGAACCAUCGAGUCUUUGAACGCAAGUUGCGCCCGAAGCCAUUAGGCCGAGGGCACGUCUGCCUGGGCGUCACGC
RNAcentral lists this ribosomal RNA (204 nucleotides) under Keckiella breviflora. RNAcentral describes it as "5.8S ribosomal RNA". The stretch from base 46 to 201 matches the Rfam family "5.8S ribosomal RNA". From Rfam's summary of the family: 5.8S ribosomal RNA (5.8S rRNA) is a component of the large subunit of the eukaryotic ribosome. It is transcribed by RNA polymerase I as part of the 45S precursor that also contains 18S and 28S rRNA. The record is from RNAcentral. Lineage: Eukaryota; Viridiplantae; Streptophyta; Magnoliopsida; Lamiales; Plantaginaceae.